Molecule: ribosomal RNA, 256 nt
Filed under: uncultured bacterium
Lineage: Bacteria
Description: partial 16S ribosomal RNA
Rfam family: Bacterial small subunit ribosomal RNA
Source: RNAcentral
UACGUAGGGUGCGAGCGUUAAUCGGAAUUACUGGGCGUAAAGCGUGCGCAGGCGGUUCGCCAAGUCAGGUGUGAAAUCCCCGGGCUUAACCUGGGAAUUGCGCUUGAAACUAGCGGGCUUGAGUGUGGCAGAGGGGGGGUGGAAUUCCACGGUGUAGCAGUGAAAUGCGUAGAGAUGUGGAGGAACACCGAUGGCGAAGGCAGCCCCCUGGGCUAACACUGACGCCUCAUGCACGAAAGCGUGGGGAGCAAACAGG